This 3014-nucleotide ribosomal RNA is filed under the name Clostridiaceae bacterium TF01-6. RNAcentral's name for it is "bacterial LSU rRNA". It matches the Rfam family "Bacterial large subunit ribosomal RNA". Lineage: Bacteria; Bacillati; Bacillota; Clostridia; Eubacteriales; Clostridiaceae. The record is from RNAcentral.
GAAAGAGCGCAGGGUGGAUGCCUUGGCACUAAGAGCCGAUGAAAGACGUGAUAAGCUGCGAAAAGCUUCGGGGAGGAGCAAAUAUCCUUUGAUCCGGAGAUCUCUGAAUGGGGAAACCUACUUGAGUGCACCUCAAGUGACGUAUGGUGAAUACAUAGCCAUACGCCGGGAACCCGGUGAACUGAAACAUCUAAGUAGCCGGAGGAAGAGAAAGAAACAUCGAUUCCGAAAGUAGCGGCGAGCGAAAUUGGAAGAGCCCAAACCGGAAUGCGUGCAUUCCGGGGUUAUGGACCACGUUAUGUGACCCGUAUGGUAAUGGAACUGUCUGGGAAGUCAGACCAGAGAGGGUGAAAGUCCCGUACAUGAAACCAGAAGGGAGCUAGUGGGAUCCAGAGUACUGCGAGACACGUGGAACCUUGCAGGAAGUCGGGGGGACCACCCCCCAAGGCUAAAUACUCCUUAGUGACCGAUAGCGCAUAGUACUGUGAAGGAAAGGUGAAAAGGACCCCGGGAGGGGAGUGAAAGAGAACCUGAAACCCUGUGUUUACAAGCUGUGGAAGCACGUUAAGGUGCGACCGCGUACUUUUUGUAGAACGGUCCGGCGAGUUGCGGAUGCUGGCAAGGUUAAGCACUUUAGGUGCGGAGCCGAAGCGAGAGCAAGUCUGAAUAGGGCGUCAAGUCAGCAUGUGCAGACCCGAAACCGGGUGAUCUAUCCAUGUCCAGGUUGAAGCGAAAGUAAAAUUUCGUGGAGGACCGAACGCACAUCCGUUGAAAAGGGUGGCGAUGAGGUGUGGAUAGGGGAGAAAUUCCAAUCGAACCCGGAGAUAGCUGGUUCUCCUCGAAAUAGCUUUAGGGCUAGCCUCGUAUUAGUCUGGUGGAGGUAGAGCACUGAAUUUCCUAGGGGGCGUCAAAGCCUACCGAAGAAUAUCAAACUCCGAAUGCCAUACAGAUGAUGUACGGGAGUCAGACGGCACGAGAUAAGUUGGGUCGUCAAAAGGGAAAGAGCCCAGACCUGCAGCUAAGGUCCCAAAGUGUGUGUUAAGUGGAAAAGGAUGUGGGAUUUCAAAGACAACUAGGAUGUUGGCUCAGAAGCAGCCACACAUUCAAAGAGUGCGUAAUAGCUCACUAGUCGAGAGGUCCUGCGCCGAAAAUGUCCGGGGCUGAAACACAACACCGAAGCUCAGGAAUGUAUUUAUACAUUGGUAGAGGAGCAUUCUUAAAGGGGCGAAGCAGUACCGAUAAGGAGCUGUGGACUUUUAAGAAGAGAGAAUGCCGGAAUGAGUAGCGAGAUGGAGGUGGGAAUCCUCCAGGCCGAAUAUCUAAGGUUUCCAGGGUAAAGCUGAUCUGCCCUGGGUAAGUCGGGGCCUAAGGCAAGGCUGAGAAGCGUAGCUGAUGGACAACAGGUUUAGAUUCCUGUACCACAUGAUAUCAGAACUGUGGGGACGCAGAGGGAUAAGAUGACCGGGGAACAGAACCCCGGGCAAGCGCAGGAGGUGUCAGACAGGCAAAUCCGUCUGACAAGCCAAAGGCGUGACGCGGACCGAACUAAAGUAGGGAAGCAUCCGAUUCCAGCUGCCGAGAAAAGCCGCUAUUGUGUACCNNNNNNNNNNAUUCCCGGGCAAGCGUAGGAGGUGUCAGGCAGGCAAAUCCGCCUGACAAGCCAAAGACGUGACGCGGACCGAACCAAAGUAGGGAAGCAUCCGAUUCCAGCUGCCGAGAAAAGCCGCUAUUGUGUACCAUGUGCCCGUACCGUAAACCGACACAGGUGGAUGAGGAGAGAAUCCUAAGGCCGGCGGGAGAAGCAUUGUUAAGGAACUCGGCAAAAUGACCCCGUAACUUCGGGAUAAGGGGUGCCAGAGAGAUCUGGCCGCAGAGAAUAGGCUCAAGCAACUGUUUAGCAAAAACACAGGUCUAUGCGAAACCGUAAGGUGAUGUAUAUGGGCUGACGCCUGCCCGGUGCUGGAAGGUUAAGAGGAGAGGUUAGAGCAAUCGAAGCUUUGAAUUGAAGCCCCAGUAAACGGCGGCCGUAACUAUAACGGUCCUAAGGUAGCGAAAUUCCUUGUCGGGUAAGUUCCGACCCGCACGAAAGGCGUAAUGAUUUGAGCGCUGUCUCGACAAUGCACCCGGUGAAAUUGAAAUACCAGUGAAGAUGCUGGUUACCUGCGCCAGGACGGAAAGACCCCAUGGAGCUUUACUCCAGCUUGAUACUGGGAUUCGGUAAUGCAUGCACAGGAUAGGUGGGAGGCUACGAGUACGGAACUCCGGUUUCGUAUGAGCCGCUGUUGGGAUACCACCCUUGCGUUACUGGGUUUCUAACCAUGGCCCGUGAUCCGGGCCGGGGACAAUGUCAGGUGGGGAGUUUGACUGGGGCGGUCGCCUCCGAAAGGGUAUCGGAGGCGCUCAAAGGUUCCCUCAGAAUGGUUGGAAACCAUUCGAAGAGUGCAAAGGCAGAAGGGAGCUUGACUGCGAGACCGACGGGUCGAGCAGGUAGGAAACUAGGACUUAGUGAUCCGGUGGUAUGAAAGUGGGAUUGCCAUCGCUCAACGGAUAAAAGCUACCCUGGGGAUAACAGGCUUAUCACUCCCAAGAGUUCACAUCGACGGAGUGGUUUGGCACCUCGAUGUCGGCUCAUCGCAUCCUGGGGCUGAAGUAGGUCCCAAGGGUUGGGCUGUUCGCCCAUUAAAGCGGUACGCGAGCUGGGUUCAGAACGUCGUGAGACAGUUCGGUCCCUAUCCGGCGCAGGCGGAGGAUAUUUGAGAGGAGCUGUCCUUAGUACGAGAGGACCGGGAUGGACGGACCGCUGGUGUACCGGUUGAGCUGCUAAGCUCAUGGCCGGGUAGCCAAGUCUGGCAGGGAUAAACGCUGAAGGCAUCUAAGCGUGAAGCCCCCCUCAAGAUGAGAUAUCCCAUUCGAAAGAAGUAAGACCCCUUGAAGACGACGAGGUAGAUAGGGCAGAGGUGGAAGUGCAGUAAUGUACGGAGCUGACUGUUACUAAUCGGUCGAGGGCUUAUCCA